This 209-nucleotide long non-coding RNA is filed under the name Carica papaya (papaya). RNAcentral describes it as "long non-coding RNA (CPAP_LNC001228)". Lineage: Eukaryota; Viridiplantae; Streptophyta; Magnoliopsida; Brassicales; Caricaceae. The record is from RNAcentral.
CAUGUUUAUAUUUGAUUGGAUAAUUGAGAUCGAAAAAAAUAGAAAAGGUAUGUAAAUUGAUAAAUGGAUAACGUGGACAGCCUGACUAGAUAUCCUCGGAGAUGGUGGACGGACCGGAUCCGUAGGGAACCCUACUAGGAACGUGGUCUCUCAUAUCGGAUGGGGUAUGGAGACUUUAUAUAUUUUGGCGCCUGUACCGGACGGAAUAU